This 262-nucleotide long non-coding RNA is filed under the name Capsella rubella. RNAcentral's name for it is "long non-coding RNA (CRUB_LNC003845)". The record is from RNAcentral. Lineage: Eukaryota; Viridiplantae; Streptophyta; Magnoliopsida; Brassicales; Brassicaceae.
UUAAGUUUCAUGAAUUUUAUUUUAAAAAUUGGGGGUGUUUGGCUUCAAGUUGUCCUUCCCAAUUAAUAGUAUAGAUGUCUAUGUUUUGGACUACUUUUUUAAUUUACUUUCGUUUUUUUAAUUUCAUUAAAAACCUUUCAUUAUAAUUGUGUUUUUUUACAAAUUUUAAAUGUGUCAUGAUCAUGCAGAAUAAUAUAGGGGAUCAAUCCCUAUAUACAAAAUUAAGGACUAUGAAACCAAACUUAAUGAUAGGAGGCAUACC